UUUGGAAGUGCAGACCUAUUUAUGUCAGUCCGGUUAGUCAUUCUGCGUUAAGUGUUUCUUUUUAGUUACCUUAACAUAGCGAAUUCCUUCUAAUAGUUCCCAUAAGUAAAUCGAAAUCAAACCGCAAAUACGCCUUAUGGCAACAAGAUAAAAUUAAAGGAAAUACAAAUGUCUAACACAAUCACUGGUACUGUAAAAUGGUUUAACGAUGAUAAAGGUUUUGGCUUUAUCACUCCAGCUGACGGUAGCAAAGACGUGUUUGUUCACUUCUCUGCAAUCCAGAGCGACAACUUCAAAUCACUGGCUGAAGGCCAGAAAGUUUCUUUCACCAUUGAAAAUGGUAUGAAAGGCCCGGCAGCGGGUAAUGUGGUAGCGCUGUAAUUCAGCCACCCAUUAAGCAGAUUUAAGAACCUCACUUCGGUGGGGUUUU
This 430-nucleotide small RNA is filed under the name Morganella psychrotolerans. Its description in RNAcentral is "cspA thermoregulator". It matches the Rfam family "cspA thermoregulator". The record is from RNAcentral. Lineage: Bacteria; Pseudomonadati; Pseudomonadota; Gammaproteobacteria; Enterobacterales; Morganellaceae.